AUUCCGAUACAUCGUCCUGUAACUGUAUAAAUUGGUACAAUACAGGUUCUGAAACCCAUUCCUACAAUACAGGUUCUGAAACAGUACAAAUUUCAGCUAGGCUAGCUAGCAUUGGUGCUACUGUAUAAAUUGUUGGACAACCAAUUAAUAUUUCUGUUGGCAUCUUGUACAAAUUGUUGCUUCACUUGCAACUAUCAAUCUGCAUUACUUCUCCCUCCAUUUCUUUUCCUACUAAACAUACUUUUUGCCCCUCAUAAGAACACCUACUACUUGCAGUUGCCACUUGCAACACAAACAAAAAAGAUAGAAAUAAUGGAAACGAUAGUUAGAUGAACUUAACAUAGCAGUCUCCACUUGUCCAUUGACCCAUCUGCUCAAGGGUUUUGUUUUGCCUUCCUUCACAGCCACAGCAAGAACAACCGGGCCGGCAACAACGGAGCCCACACAUCUUUGUACAAGGCCCUCGAUCACCAAUCUCAUGUCAACCCAUGCUGCCCUGCUGUGGUCCGAGGUCCGGCGGAAACAUGUGACCAUCGCCAGCCCUGUGGUGCGCCACAAGCAAGCUGCCCAACCUACCAACAAUUUUUCUUAGUGCUGGGUUUCGACGGUCUCAGGAGGAGACAUCAGUUCGAUGCACACGGUGAAACCAAAUCAUGAACAGUAAGGAAUGUAAUAUCAUGGACCGGCGCAAGUAAUCUGAAGCAACAGUAUGGUCUAAGGCAAUCAAGUGUAGCUCAUACCUUCUUAGAAAUGGCAUUACUCAAUGAUUUCUCGAAAAGAUGUACCUGAAAUUUCAUAACAGCACAUACAUUACAAAAUUAGCAAGUCCGUGUGUACACAUCUACAUGGAAGUAACACUACAGAAAAAAUCGGCAUGCAGCUAAGCAACAAUGGAGUAAAACACAUACUGACCACUAGGAUGCGGGUCUACCAGUCUCGACUGCGACGCUUCAAUCAUUCAGAAUUGGCUCCUGUUUGGUCGUUGGCUCUUCCUUGCCAAAGCACUCUUAAUCUGGUAGCCAAUUUUGGAUGCAGGUUCACUCAACUCACCUCUUAUGUUCUGCUCUGUUGUUCUGUUCCCCACACAAUCAAUCUGUAUUUUCCCUUCAAAAAAUUUCCAACUAUAUAAUAACCUUUAUAAAAAGAUUUUUAUCUUUUUGGAAACAACAUGUAAACCAAGAGUGAGCAGAAAUAGCAUUAGCUGGGAAAGGUACAGCUGGGAUGCCCACCAUGAACUAGCAUAGCAGUCUCCACUUGUCCAUUGACAAAAUCUGCUCCAGGGGUUUUGCCCUUUACAACCACCGGCGACUGGGGAUCUUCGUGCUAGGCCCUCGAUCACAAUCUACCGAGAACCCGUGCUGCCCUGCCCUGCUGCCGCCUGAGGUCUGGCCAUCAAGCAGGGUCGCUGCUAAAGCGAGCGAUGAAAGGCAGGAACCGACUUGUUGGGCUGAUGGAGCUCAUGAGGCAGAGUUGCAAAGUAAUUAAAGCCUCUCAUCCACCUUUCCAACUUCUGCAUCGACCCAUCUUCUGACGGUGAGCAGUAGCGUCACAGCUGGUGCUCUGUUACGGAAAAGCCUCUUAGCACAAUAAACGAAUGACAAACCGAAGAAUCCAACGAAUAACUAAAUAAAGCUCAGACAGUACCUUCUUAGAAAUGGCAUUACUCAUUAACUUCUCUCAAGCAAACUUCUCAUCCACCUUUCCUGCCGACUUCUACACGGACCCAACUUCUGACGGAAAGUAGUAGCGUCAGAGUCGGUGCUCUGUUACAGGAAAACCUCUUACCUUCUUAGAAACGGCAUUACUCAUUAACUACUCUGAAAGCUGUACCUGAAAUUUUACAACAGCAUACAAAAUACAGAAUUAGAGGCUAGAAGAGUAUGCAAGUGCCCUGCAGAGUAGAUAAAAAGCAUGCUGAUUAUUCAGGUGGAAUGGGGGUAAUUUUGAUGAACUGAACAAAACAGAGAAUGACUUUGAUGCCUCAGAGGUUAUGUAACUUGAGUAAAGUUACAUUUACAUGUACUUGCCUGAUUUAUGUACAGAAAGAUGCCACACAAAAACCUCGCGUGCCAGAUAUGCAUGGAUGGAUAGAAUUCUACAUUGUAGCUCAGACUUCAGAUUUUUUGUUCAUGAGGUAAACCAAGCCACAAGAGUAAAUUAACAGUCGGUUAAUAGGAGAAGCAAGGAGAAUACUACUGAUUUAUUUUACAAAGAGUAAAAUGCUCUUACAUAUACGUACCUUAUUUAUGUACAAAGGAGGGUGCCACUCAAGGAGUGGUUGCACGAACUCAGACAACCCUACAAGGCUAUAAGAAUUGACAGAUUCAAGGCAACCUGGCAUGGUAGAUUGAAACAAACAUGGUUCAGAACUUUAAAUAAUCUGGUAACAAGGUAAACUAAACCCGAACAGACUAUAAUUUACGGAACUAGGGAUGUAUGUGAUGAUAAUGCCUGUACUGACCAGUUUCAUGUCCAGAUGGUAGAUGCAUACUGAGACCUUUUGAAGCUUGUAUUGGCAACCCGGAAGCAUACAUGCUUGGAUUCUAAGAGGCUAGCUAGAAGAAUGUACAAGUCCAGGAAGUGCC
This 2585-nucleotide long non-coding RNA is filed under the name Triticum aestivum (bread wheat). Its description in RNAcentral is "long non-coding RNA (TAES_LNC003973)". The record is from RNAcentral. Lineage: Eukaryota; Viridiplantae; Streptophyta; Magnoliopsida; Poales; Poaceae.